ACUCAAAGGAAUAGACGGGGACCCGCACAAGCGGUGGAGCAUGUGGUUUAAUUCGACGGUAAGCGAGGAACCUUACCAAGGCUUGACAUGUAGCUGCAAGCGCACGGAAACGUGUGACCUUCGAGGGUGCUACACAGGUGCUGCACGGUUGUCGUCAGCUCGUGUCGUGAGAUGUUCCCUUAAGUGGGAGAACGAGCGCAACCCCCAUGUUAUGUUGAUUUUCAUAACAGACUGCCGGCGUUUAAGCUGGAGGAAGGCGGGGAUGACGUCAAAUCAGCGUGGCUCUUACGCCUUGGGCGACACACGUGCUACAAUGGGUAGGAACAAAGGGACGCAACACCGCAAGGUAGAGCAAAUCCUCUCAAAAACUACCCUCAGUUCAGAUUGUGGGCUGCAACUCGCCCGCAUGAAGCUGGAAUCGCUAGUAACCGUGAAUCAGCCUCGUCACGGUGAAUACGUUCUCGGGUUUUGCACACACCGCCCGU
This 485-nucleotide ribosomal RNA is filed under the name uncultured bacterium. RNAcentral describes it as "partial 16S ribosomal RNA". It matches the Rfam family "Bacterial small subunit ribosomal RNA", at positions 899 to 1397 of the family's 1533-position model. The record is from RNAcentral.